GGGCGGGCCCUGGGAGGAGGAGGGGCAGGAAAGGCCUUCCGGCCUGAGCCCCUCCGGCCUGGGCUGCUCUCUUCCUCGAUGUCGUAGGAGAGAGUGCAAGCACCGGGAUGGGAAGCUGAUGUUGCAUCUAAAUAGACGACAGAACAACAACCCAGACACCUGGAGGAAUCCCUGAAGAUAAAGAAUCAGGUAUCACUAUCUACUCAGAACCUUUGCUUUUAUUGGUCCUUUAAGAAAUUUGAAGAUCAUGCCACUGUCUCCUCGUGGGUUAUUAUCAAAGUAGUGAAUCCCAUGAUCUUUUGACUGAAAUUCCCAGUGUUGUAUAUUCUGCUUGUUGUGACAAGCAUACCUAUACCCUGACCUUUACCAACCA
RNAcentral lists this long non-coding RNA (373 nucleotides) under Phascolarctos cinereus (koala). Its description in RNAcentral is "lncRNA (ENSPCIG00000032503.1)". Lineage: Eukaryota; Metazoa; Chordata; Mammalia; Diprotodontia; Phascolarctidae. The record is from RNAcentral.